ACAUCUUUGACAAAAAGAACAAAUUAAAUUUCUUGUCCUUAAAUAACUUAUUAAAAAUUUUAACCCAAGAAAAAUUAGUAUGUCACUGAAUUUGCGCAAAUUGAAUAUUUUAUUUAAAGCAGUUUUUAAAUGUUAAAGAUUUUAAAGAUAUUAAAAACUGUAAAGCAAGAAAAUUUAAGCAACAAAUAGCUGAAUUUACAGAAAUUAAAUAUUUUCAAGCAAUUGCAAUUCUUUCAAAUGUAUCAAUAAAGAUUUUUUAAUCACUAGAAAUUCCAAACUAAGAAAAUUGAGCAAGUCGCUAAUUUACAAAAAUUGAAAAGCCUUGAAAACAUAAAUUCUUGAGCAUAUAUAUAAAUAUAGAGAGCCUGCUUUGAAAAGGUAGGAGAACCAUGCAUUAUAUCUCUUUGCAAUAAUUUGCUGAUGCAACCUGUAAUACACAAAUAUGUAUUUCUCCGCAAUACUUUACGAUAAUGCGGAAUUAUACCGUAAUUUUACUAUGCAUCUUUGAUUAGCUUUAACUUCGAGAGACUAUGUUGUGACGACGCGAUGUCAUAGCAACCACCAGCGUGUAAACCCCCUGGUGUUAGUUGUAACUUACCCUCGGUUGUGUCGCGAUGCCGCUGAAUUCUUGAAACGUUCCGAAAAAUGUCAUUGUUCAAGACGAAAGAAUGGUGGAGAACGCAAUGCGGAGUGCACGAGUGUUUCGACAGACGCAGCUUGUUGGUCACGCCGUUGUUCGGCGCCGACCGGAAGGACAUCGUUGUCGUCGGCAGCCACGGCGGUUACCUUCGGAUAUACAAUCCAUCCUCACAAUGGAUAGACGAAACCAAAUCGCCGAGCGGCUACGAGUCCUCGGAUCUAAUCAUCGAGACACAAGUCGGCGAUUGUAUUGUUGACAUGAAGGCGGGAAAAUUUGUCUCAGGCUCGCAAGACACUCAACUCGCAAUACUGACAUCAAAAAAACUCAUCAUUUAUAGCAUAAUUUUGAGUCAGGGCUCCGCUGAACAUGGGGACCAUUGCGACCUGCAAAUCGCUUACGAGCAUCUGCUACAGCGAUUUCCGGCGUCCCUGACAACGGGACCGUUUGGCGGUGUGCGGGGUCGGGACUUCCUCUGUGUUCAGUGCUUGGAUGGUACGCUUCUCUUCUACGAGCAAGAGACUCCCACCUUCAGCCUGGUUCUCGGGAAUCGGUUGCUGCCGGAGCCGAUCAUCUACGUUUCGCGGAACGACAUCUUCGUGACGCCGAGCUCCUCAUGGAUCCUCGAGUGCUACAGGUACAAGAGCAUGGCAGAAUUUGGAAGCAAGGAACGCUCGGAGGAACCAAAAAACUUAGAACCGGACUGGAGUUACAAUAUCGGUGAAGCCGUUCUCGAUAUCGAUACUGUUACCUUGAGCAGCUUCGAAGUCGGGAUUCUUAUACUUGGCGAGAAGAAUCUGUAUUGUCUCAAAGAUAAUUGCGUCACUCUGAAAUACGCGAAACGGCUCGAGUACAAGGCACUCUGCUUUCAAGCUUACGUGAUAGAACCGGAUGGCAAGUUGAUGGUGCUUGUAAUCGCUGACACGAACACCCUGAUGAUUUACGAGGGUACGACUCUUAAGUGGUCAGCCCAACUGCCUUUUACUCCGGUCGCCGUAACUCGAGCGCAUUUUCAGCACUUAGACGGAACGAUCGUCGUUCUUUCAGAAGAGGGCCAGCUAGAGGCUUGCUACUUGGGCUCGGAGCCGUCGUUAUUUAUCGCGCCUCCUCUACACCGACGCGGUUACGAUUACGUAGCCGCUGAAGAUGAGCUCAUGGAACUCCGCAAGUUGGCAAAAAGAAAUAAGGCUUCCGGCAGUCAACUCAGUGACGUCACCAUGGACGCUGAGUUAAUAAUAACCGUAACCGUAUCUGCGGAUCUGGAACCCAGUCCACGCGGAAAUCAGGAUGACUCUAAGGACGAUUCAGAGGGUCGUAAUUUAAUGUGCAGGAUUACCAUAGAAUUAUCCACGUACACGACGCUUCACGACGUUCAAGUGUGCGUGGACGUCUCAAAGCCGUUCGUCUCCGAGAAGAAUUGUCAUGUUAUUAACAAUCUCUGUGACCGGCAAAUUCUACGCACGAUGAUCUACGCGACGACGGAUCUGCCGGCGAUGUCAUCGGACGUGAGAAUCUCGGCGAGCUACAAGACGGGGGAUCGUGGGAGCCUGCGCGUACUUCAGAAGAUGGCCCAACUGCCCCUGAAGAUGAUGCUGAGGGCCUGCCCACCCGAGAAUACGUCCACCUUCACGGCGACCAUCAAGUGCAGCGAGCCCCUCGUGGCUUUUAGCCAGCUGUUUCCCGAAUUUACAGGAGACGUACAAAGGCAAAAUUGGAAUGCGCUUGGUUUGCAACACGUGCAAACUGGCAGCGUGGUGACAAUUGCUUCCGGCGCUACCAGCAAUCGUUAUCGCGUGCAGUCGAAUGAUGGACCUUCAAUGGCCUUGGUGGUCCAGCAAUUGAUGAGUAGACUCAAAGACAAAGCUACCGGAAAUUUUACGACUGCUAUCGCGCAAAAUCACAUACAACUGGUCCAGUCUCAAAUGGAGGCGCACUAUCGUAGUCGCCAGGAAGCGGACAAAAUCGCGAGUGAAAUCGGGCUGCUGUCGACCCAGUUGAGAAACAUCGAGAGGAGGAUGCUGCGCGCCGUAAGGGAGCGGAACACCCGAUCUCUGGCUACGACUGGACUGCCGUUCCUCUUGGAGUCGACCUAUCGCGCGAUCUCUGCGCUCCUGGAUGAUCUCGCGAUUGCACGAACGCCUUUCAGCAUGUUCAACACAAACCGGAUCUCGAACGGGAACGCGCCGGCCACGGUCUGCAGUGCGCCGUAAGGUUACUGCUCCUGCUGCUGCGGCUUAACGUGAACGACGAUAAGUACGCAAUGCUCGAAGCCGCGAUCGGAUUCGAGUCGUCGCAGCUGCGCGACGAGCUUGACUGGGAAGAGAUAGCCGAUGUCUGCCUGAGCACUUUCCUACGUUCCACAUCGAGAAAAGCCACGGGUCACCUGGACGCAAAACCUACGCUAUUAACCAAAAUGACGUCUACCAAAGAAUU
This 3070-nucleotide unclassified non-coding RNA is filed under the name Monomorium pharaonis (pharaoh ant). RNAcentral describes it as "protein PTHB1, transcript variant X2". Lineage: Eukaryota; Metazoa; Arthropoda; Insecta; Hymenoptera; Formicidae. The record is from RNAcentral.